Schizosaccharomyces pombe (fission yeast) is the source of this 2539-nucleotide non-coding RNA. NCBI's taxonomy places the organism in Eukaryota, Fungi, Ascomycota, Schizosaccharomycetes, Schizosaccharomycetales, Schizosaccharomycetaceae. The record is from the annotation of a GenBank genome assembly.
CUUGCAUAUUUACAUGCGCAGAUAGAAAUUAUAUACUUACUUGUGUGGUUAAUUACCAGUUCUAUCUGUUUGCAUCGGUUCGUCAUCAGAUAUAGUAUGUCGAAGGUUACAGUACCAAACAUAAAACAACAAAAACAAUGCUUACUGAAAAGUCAUAGAAAACGUAAAAACAUAAACUGUCUGGAAGGAAGAAAAAAAGAAGAAUUUGGAAAGACGCGCAGGUUCAAAACCAUGAGACCUACUCGGACAAUGGGAUGGAAGUAGAGGAUUGGGAACUCUUGUAAGCAGCCUCAAUGAUCUUCUCUACCAACAAAACUUGAUGAGGCUUCACCGAAGUUUCAAAGGUCUUCGUGACCAAGGCUUCAUGCACCUCCAAAUAGAAUCGACGAUAAUCACCGGCAAUGGUCAUUAAAGUGCUCUUCGUAGGUUUUGGGGGGUGUCUGACAUCGAUGUCGGGAGGUAGGGUCCAAAGGGUUGCAUAAUGAUGGGAGGAAUCGACACCAUAACCUGGAUCCAUGGGAGACAUUCCUUCGUUCAAUUGGGACUCUUGGGGAUCAAUGCCAAACUUCAAAAAGCUACCGCGCGUACCCUUGAUAAUAUAACGCAUGUCCAAACCACAAGAAAUGCUGGAGGAGCACACAAUAACGUCAAGAGGAAGUCUUCCUUCUUGGGGCAGAUAGUGGAGAACGAUGCGGAAGCAAUCCUCCACCUCCAAAGGUGGGAUCUGACGUUGUGAUUCGAGCUUUGCCGUUACGGAAUGGGGAGUGCCAAACAAGGUGAUGGCCUGAUCGAUCAAAUGAGAGCCCAAGUCAUACACCAAACCACAGCCGGGAUUAGGAACAUCCUUCCAAUUACCUUUACGGAAAAGGCGAAAGCGAUCGAUAUGCGACUCGAAUUGCACAACUUCGCCCAAACGACCAUUUUCGAUGCAUUCCUUUGCCGUCAAGAAAUCACCAUCGAAACGACGAUUUUGAUACACGGUCAACAUGAGGUUUUUGGACUUGGCGAGAUCGAACAGCUCCUUGGCCUCGCCGUAGGUGGGAGUGAAAGGUUUUUCACACAACACAUGCUUACCGGCAUUGAGCGCUUGAGAAACGACCUCGUAGUGGACGUUGGGAGGGAGUGAAAUGACGACUAAUUCGAUGUUGGAGUCAGCCAAGAGCUCGUCGAGUUUGGUGUACACCUUUACGUUUGGAAAGGCAGCGCGGGCUUUCGAUUCGGUGCUGGUAGCACGGCGCUCCCAAGCAGCAUAAACCUCGAAAUGGUUGGGUAGCGCCUUUAAGAAGGGAUAGUGGAAGAUAAAGGCAGACAUGCCAGUACCGAGAACGGCAGUUUUAAUAGGCGCCAUUGAGAGUAGUAGGGAGGGGAAUCAAAAGUAAUGUUUCUACAAGAGGAAUGUUAGUAAAGAUGCGACAAGACAGCCACAGGGAAGGGCAAGGGCAAGGGCAAGGUAGAAGAGGAACCAAAGGUGGAUAGAAAGAGCGCGCGCACAAUAUUAAGGCAUCACAAGCGCUCCAUGCGAUGUCAAGUAACGCAUUGCAACUCAACUCAAUCAUGAUGUGUAUUUCCUGAACCAUCUCUAUUCCGCAAUCGCAAUCGCACCCGCGCUUGCACUUGCACUUGUACUCGCCAGCUUACUACAUACCUUGCUUGAAAAAUGAAUAAAAUAUAAUGUAAAUACAGUCGGCCCGCUUGUUAAGCUUGUUUCCUAUGGACCACAAUGGAUUCUAAUGUCAACCUAGCUAGUUGGUUCUUUGCAAAUUCGAUGCGACCCGCGCCCGUUAUCGAUUAAAUAGUCUACACCGCCAUUCGCCCACGUAAGCAAUCAACACACAACCUUUUUCCAUCUCGUUGUUUCAACCUCGUACAACGUGUGUUAAAGCGGGGCCCAUCGGGUACCACGAAGAAAGGUGCAACUUGAGCUAAGAUGCAGCUAUGUAAUGAAUGACGUUUAUUAGUAUAAGCAGGAUGAGUUUACCAUGCAGAUAGGGGGAACGUUUCAGCACGUAAAAGGGAACUAAAGGACACUAUGCUUUAGUAUGUUGUGUUGUGCUAUGUACUACUAUGUGAUAUUAGGUUGUGUAUGCUAUACUGUGCUAUGCUAGUAGCCGAUGGAGAGAGAGAGAGAGUAUGUGCUUGUAUGUCAAGGGAAAUUGUAAACAAAUUUAACUUGCUGGGACUAAAUGAUAAUAUGAAUGUUGAUAUUACUUGGAAAUCCUUCUUCAAUCUCAUUACGCUUGGAUAAAUUUGUUGAACCACGUUUGGAUGAAUGUUUUAAAUUAAAAAGUUUUCUAGCGUUUGAAUCCAUGCCAUCUCUUUCCCUCAUCUCUCUCCGGCUUGACUUUUGCUCGCUUUUGUCUGCUUCCCAAUCACUUGUUUCUAGAACCGGCCACUUCCAUUAUGUGCCUGCCGUUCUUAUUGCUUUUGCCUCUAUAAGAAAAUACUAUGGGUUUGUUUGGUUUGGUCUGGCUUCCAUUUCCGCGCGAUCGCUGUCAGACUAGAUGCACUAAAAUCCCUUGCACAUUAAUUAAGAAGAACU